UUAAUUUUUAGCUACAACUCAACUGGGGAUACUUUUCAGGCCUUAUCUGCAGUAUUUGAUUAUAUAGGGAAAACUUCCUCUUGACAUUUACUCUUUUCUUAUACUGUUCUUCAGUUUCUGUUGUUUUUCUCCAUUUCAAACAGUCCUUUUUCAGUCUUCUUAAUGACCUUCUCUUUCUCCAUUCAUCCCUUAAGUUGAUGCACCCAAAGUCUUGAUCACUGGCUGUAACAAAGAAAGGAGACAAUGCUCGUUGCUUGCCCGUGUCUGUUGCAUUCCCAUGCUAUCUGAGCAUCCAUUUUUCCUUCCUCCUGACCAACAGAACCUGUUUUAAACUGAGUCCAUUGUUCAACACCUUAAGAGUUCUGUCCUUUCUUGCAUCAGGAUGUGAUCAUGUGACUGGGUGACCAGCUGUUCCUGUUUGCCUGGGUUGGAGGGGCUUUCAGGGCCGAGAGACUUUCUGUAGUAAGACUGGGAAAAUUCGGGCAAACCUGGAUGAAUUCGUGACUUCACAUCUGACUGACUUCUAGCCGCUGGUCCAUGAAAGAAAUGUCCUGUGGGGCACAGCUUUCUCUUUAAAAGAGAGUGGGCGUGCCCUCUUCCUCCUGCCCGAACAGGUAUCGGAGCUCCAGCUGCAUCUUGGAACUUGAGUGGACCUUGAGGAAGUAGAGCAAGGAAACGAGGUAACACACAUCUGAUGACUGGGACAAAGGCGCACUGCCUAAAUCUGGGACAUCUCCGAGGAGCCAUCCCUGCUCCAGAGGUCCCCAAAGGAUUGGCUUCCACCUCUGCUGAACAGCAUCGCAGUUCAGUCUCUGCCUCAUCUUCCUUCCCUGUUUGCUCGGGGUUCUUUUAUCGAGCACUGCCUAACAAGGUUGCUGAACGCUAUCUCCAUCUUAGGAUGGAGUCAGAGAAUUUGACCUAAGGCAAUUUGUUAUCCAACUGUCUUUUAACUUGUCUUGGUGUCAGAAAGUUCCUGGCUGUGCUGGUGACACACGAUGAACACGAUGGGCUAGGGACGACUGUAUGGACGUCAUGGACAAAGGCAAGG
Manis pentadactyla (Chinese pangolin) is the source of this 1048-nucleotide long non-coding RNA. RefSeq lists it as uncharacterized. The record is from RefSeq and is a predicted model, not a curated record. NCBI's taxonomy places the organism in Eukaryota, Metazoa, Chordata, Mammalia, Pholidota, Manidae. The transcript has 3 exons.